This 489-nucleotide ribosomal RNA is filed under the name uncultured bacterium. RNAcentral's name for it is "partial 16S ribosomal RNA". It matches the Rfam family "Bacterial small subunit ribosomal RNA", at positions 28 to 506 of the family's 1533-position model. The record is from RNAcentral.
GAUGAACGCUAGCUACAGGCUUAACACAUGCAAGUCGCGGGGCAGCAUGGGGGUUGCUUGCAAUCCCCGAUGGCGACCGGCGCACGGGUGAGUAACGCGUAUCCAACCUGCCCUUCACCACGGGAUAACCCGGCGAAAGUCGGACUAAUACCGUAUGUUGUCCAUUGACGGCAUCCGAUUUGGACGAAAGGCUUGGCGGUGAGGGAUGGGGAUGCGUCCGAUUAGCCAGACGGCGGGGUAACGGCCCACCGUGGCUACGAUCGGUAGGGGUUCUGAGAGGAAGGUCCCCCACACUGGAACUGAGACACGGUCCAGACUCCUACGGGAGGCAGCAGUGAGGAAUAUUGGUCAAUGGGCGUAAGCCUGAACCAGCCAAGUAGCGUGCAGGAUGACGGCCCUAUGGGUUGUAAACUGCUUUUAUGCGGGGAUAAAGUGGCCCACGUGUGGGCUUUGGCAGGUACCGCAUGAAUAAGGACCGGCUAAUUCCGU